Molecule: non-coding RNA, 74 nt
Filed under: Limosilactobacillus fermentum
Lineage: Bacteria; Bacillati; Bacillota; Bacilli; Lactobacillales; Lactobacillaceae
Also listed under: 1 other name
Description: partial 16S ribosomal RNA
Rfam family: Bacterial small subunit ribosomal RNA
Source: RNAcentral
UUAUAUGAGAGUUUGAUCCUGGCUCAGGAUGAACGCCGGCGGUGUGCCUAAUACAUGCAAGUCGAACGCGUUGG